CCUACGGGAGGCAGCAGUGGGGAAUUUUGGACAAUGGGCGCAAGCCUGAUCCAGCAAUGCCGCGUGAGUGAAGAAGGCCUUCGGGUUGUAAAGCUCUUUUGUCAGGGAAGAAACGGUGGGAGCUAAUAUCUCCUGCUAAUGACGGUACCUGAAGAAUAAGCACCGGCUAACUACGUGCCAGCAGCCGCGGUAAUACGUAGGGUGCAAGCGUUAAUCGGAAUUACUGGGCGUAAAGCGUGCGCAGGCGGUUUUGUAAGACUGUCGUGAAAUCCCCGGGCUCAACCUGGGAAUGGCGAUGGUGACUGCAAGGCUAGAGUUUGGCAGAGGGGGGUAGAAUUCCACGUGUAGCAGUGAAAUGCGUAGAUAUGUGGAGGAACACCGAUGGCGAAGGCAGCCCCCUGGGUCAAACUGACGCUCAUGCACGAAAGCGUGGGGAGCAAACAGGAUUAGAUACCCUGGUAGUCCACGCCCUAAACGAUGUCUACUAGUUGUCGGGUCUUAAUUGACUUGGUAACGCAGCUAACGCGUGAAGUAGACCGCCUGGGGAGUAACGGUCGCAAGNUUAAAACGUUCAAAUGAAUUGAGG
Molecule: ribosomal RNA, 586 nt
Filed under: uncultured bacterium
Lineage: Bacteria
Description: bacterial SSU rRNA
Rfam family: Bacterial small subunit ribosomal RNA
Source: RNAcentral